This 439-nucleotide RNase P RNA is filed under the name Rhodoferax sp. RNAcentral describes it as "RNase P RNA component class A". It matches the Rfam family "Bacterial RNase P class A". Rfam says of the family: Ribonuclease P (RNase P) is a ubiquitous endoribonuclease, found in archaea, bacteria and eukarya as well as chloroplasts and mitochondria. Its best characterised activity is the generation of mature 5'-ends of tRNAs by cleaving the 5'-leader elements of precursor-tRNAs. Lineage: Bacteria; Pseudomonadati; Pseudomonadota; Betaproteobacteria; Burkholderiales; Comamonadaceae. The record is from RNAcentral.
GAAGCCCGCCAGACUGCCGCUGGUGCAAUUCUGGAAACAGAGCACUGGAGGAACGUCCGGACUGCAUAGGGCAGCGUAGCAGCUAACGGCUGUCCACUGAAAGCCUGAGCCGCAAGGCCUGGGUAUAAGGUGAGGAUCAGAGCAACAGAGACGAGUCGGCGUAGGUAUCCUGUUUCGGGUGUUCUAUGUGUGUAGGUUGGCGCAAGCCAGCCCCCGGGUAACCGGGAGCGCAUAGCCAUCCAUAGCGGGCUCUGCCUGCAAUGGGUGAAACGGGCAAUCUCUACGCGCAGCAAUACCAAGUAGGCCAACGUUGACGGGGCCCCCGGAGUUGGCGGGUAGGUAGCACCGAGCCACUGAGUGAUCAGUGGCCCAGAUUAAUGGCAGUCACGCCUGGGGAAACCCGGGCGCACAGAAUCCGGCUUAUCGGUGGGCUUCACAC